GACGCCAGUAUCAACACAGUGGCCAUUUUAUGUUCAGUGCAGUCAUCGGUAGGGACAAACCCUUAAUGCAAACUCCACCUACUAUCAAGAAGAAGACUUUCUGUCCACCGAUAGUAUUAUCGUGGUGCUCCUCCAAAGGAAGAUCUGAGAUUGAUAAAAUUUAGGAAUUCGCUGAGUCAGGAAUGGUAACUUAUAAACGUCGCCUAGAUACAUUUGAUAUGACAUGGCCUGGAAGAGUCAAGCAAACUUCUCACGAGCUGGCUGAAGCUGGGUUAUUUUAUUGUGGUAUAAGUGACCACGUCUGCUGCUUUCACUGUGCCUGUGGAAUACGCAACUGGAGACCAGAAGAUGAUCCUUGGACGUUACAUGCGAGAUGUAGUCCUGAAUGUGCCUACAUUAUUCUUGCAAGGGGCAAGGAAUUUGUUAAGAAUGCUGGAUUGACAUUACCAUUACCUAUAAAACCUAUUGACGAUGAUUUAAUUAAUAUCUUAAUGUAGGGUAUGGAUAAGUUCAAACAUCUGAUUCAUCAAAAAUUAAUACCUGUUGAGAGUAUAAGAUAUGCUUUAAGUGAGUACCUUAAGGAAUCCAGAGAUUUAUUACCUCUUACCUCUUAAACAAAGUAGAUGUUUAGAAAUCGUGUUGAGGUAUAUGCAAGAGGGUACAGAUAUUUAUUUACGGGUACGGGACAUAAUUUAUGAAACAGUUGAUGAUAAAGAGGAACAAGAAGUUACGCCUGAAAAUCUAGGAUUGAAAACUUUACCGGAGACUUGUCAUUGUACUGUUGAAAACAAGGAUUGUACAGAACAAUCUUGGGAAGAAGAUAUUUUAUGCAGAGUUUGUAUGGAUAAAAAUAUAAAUAUUGUAAUACUACCGUGUAAACAUAUGGUGACGUGCAGCGGUUGUCUUUUAUCUCUGAAAUGCUGUCCAAUUUGUAGAGGAAAUAUUUUAUAUAUAAUAAAUCCAAUUGCUUGUUGAACACUUGUAUAUGAUUUCUUGAAUACCUGUGUAUGUUAAAUGUUGUAAUAAACUCGAUG
Procambarus clarkii (red swamp crayfish) is the source of this 1034-nucleotide non-coding RNA. The record is from RefSeq and is a predicted model, not a curated record. NCBI's taxonomy places the organism in Eukaryota, Metazoa, Arthropoda, Malacostraca, Decapoda, Cambaridae.